GUUCAUAAGGUCUUCAAAUGGAGCCUCAACCCAUAGGCAAACAGGAAGAUUUUGAUGGGAACUUUGGCCAGAGUUCAUACACAAAGCCAUGGAGGAGCUCUAGCGUUGUGGGGAGCUUUUCAGAUUCCUCUGUGUCUCUCCACUCUUUCCUCCUCUCUGUCUUCACUGGACUCAACUAGAUUGGGCAAAACCCUGAUUUGAAAAGA
RNAcentral lists this long non-coding RNA (206 nucleotides) under Elaeis guineensis (African oil palm). RNAcentral's name for it is "long non-coding RNA (EGUI_LNC060344)". Lineage: Eukaryota; Viridiplantae; Streptophyta; Magnoliopsida; Arecales; Arecaceae. The record is from RNAcentral.